GAUGAACGCUGGCGGCGUGCCUAAUACAUGCAAGUCGAGCGAACGGACGAGAAGCUUGCUUUUCUGAUGUUAGCGGCGGACGGGUGAGUAACACGUGGAUAACCUACCUAUAAGACUGGGAUAACUUCGGGAAACCGGAGCUAAUACCGGAUAAUAUUUUGAACCGCAUGGUUCAAAAGUGAAAGACGGUCUUGCUGUCACUUAUAGAUGGAUCCGCGCUGCAUUAGCUAGUUGGUAAGGUAACGGCUUACCAAGGCAACGAUGCAUGGCCGACCUGAGAGGGUGAUCGGCCACACUGGAACUGAGACACGGUCCAGACUCCUACGGGAGGCAGCAGUAGGGAAUCUUCCGCAAUGGGCGAAAGCCUGACGGAGCAACGCCGCGUGAGUGAUGAAGGUCUUCGGAUCGUAAAACUCUGUUAUUAGGGAAGAACAUAUGUGUAAGUAACUGUGCACAUCUUGACGGUACCUAAUCAGAAAGCCACGGCUAACUACGUG
RNAcentral lists this ribosomal RNA (497 nucleotides) under uncultured bacterium. RNAcentral's name for it is "partial 16S ribosomal RNA". It matches the Rfam family "Bacterial small subunit ribosomal RNA", at positions 28 to 507 of the family's 1533-position model. The record is from RNAcentral.